GCAUCAUUCUUCUCGGAGCCGGAGUGUAAUUGAAGUCGCGUGUUUGCAUUAGUUUUUUGAAUUGCUGUUGGGGCUGGGGCUGCGUGAUCGUCACUGGCGUCCUCCAGAGUGCCCACCGAUCGGAAAGUCGUACGAACCGCAAGCUUUGAACGUCUGUUUAUCGCAACAUCGAAAGCGGCGGCACAGAAGACGCGAUGUGAGCUCCGGUGGGAACAGCAGCCCUUUGUCUCGUAACGGUCCCUGACACCGCCUCUCCGACUUCUAAGAGCACACGGGUUUUUCCGGAAUCUUCCAAAAGAUGCUAGAACUUUUCUGAAGACCCCCCGUGGGGCUGUCGAGGAUGUUGCUAUCUCUACAAUAGCCGGAGAAGAUGAAACAAGUUUUGCAAUGCACACGGACUGGCUCAGUUGUGAAUGUCACAAAUGCUCCCCUAACGAGGAUCAAAAGAUUGAAAGGAUGGCCUUGAUAAAUAAUAUUCAUGAGGCGAAGAGGAAGUACCCAUACAUGAUGAGCUUUGAGAGGUGACUUUGCAAGACUGACUAAGAUUGACCCAUCACCUUGUAUUGCAAAAUGGAUCAACAAAAUUGUGAAAAUGGCAGAUAUGAAACACAUCCCUUGCGAAGCAAGUGUAAUGGCAUCACUUCAAAAGGCUCGUGAGAUGUCACCGGAGAGGCUGCGAACACGACGUGAGUACUGUUACAAAGGCUUCAUCGGCAGCUUUUAGACCUACACUCCGUGACAUUAUUUUUGCAGGGUUUCGUCUCAUAGGCAUAACAUUAGAGUACAUCUGUGUUCAAUUAUUUGGUUCUUUUAAGACAGUUCUUCAGGUUUUCAACUCAUAUCUUCUCUAAAACUUAAAUUCUUUAAUGGUAGGUUGUUUGAUCUGUGGAAUGGAAAUAAACUGGCGUAGUGUUGCACAGUUACAUGCGUAGAUCAAGAAUAUUCUGUGCCAUGGCAGGCACAGAAUAUUCUUGACGGGAAAGGUCUUCAAGGUGCAGUCGACAUAAAUAAGGGGAUGUUACCCUAGCACCAGUGUUCAUUUGCUUUUAGUGACAGAAAAUCACAGCGUUAAUAGUUUUCAAAACCAACCUUUGUCACAGAUUUAGGGAACUUUAGGAAG
Dermacentor silvarum is the source of this 1120-nucleotide long non-coding RNA. RefSeq lists it as uncharacterized. The record is from RefSeq and is a predicted model, not a curated record. The transcript has 4 exons. Lineage: Eukaryota; Metazoa; Arthropoda; Arachnida; Ixodida; Ixodidae.